RNAcentral lists this long non-coding RNA (477 nucleotides) under Pan troglodytes (chimpanzee). RNAcentral's name for it is "long non-coding RNA NONPTRT004105". Lineage: Eukaryota; Metazoa; Chordata; Mammalia; Primates; Hominidae. The record is from RNAcentral.
AAUAUGGGACCAGGCAUGGUGGCUCACGCCUGUAAUCCCAACACUUUGGGAGGCCAACAUGGCAAAACCCCAUCUCUACUAAAAAUACAAAAAUUAGCUGGGCAUGGUGGCAAGCGCCUGUAAUCCCAGCUACUCGAGAGGCGGAGGUUGCAGUGAGCCGAGAUCACGCCACUGCACGCCAGCCUGGGCAACAGACUCUGUCUCAGGAGAAAAAAAAAAAAGUAAACGCCCUGAUACUUUUGACAUAUGAUGGUAUAGUUCAACAAGCAUUUUUUAGCCACAGGCAGUGUAUCAGCCACCGUGUUAAGUAGUGGCGAUAUAAAUAGGAUUCCUCCAGCCUGGCCAACAUGGCAAAAACCCAUCUCUACUAAAAAUACAAAAAUUAGCCAGGCAUGGUGGAACACCCCUGUAGUCCCAGCUACUUGGGAGGCUGAGGCAGGAAAAUCGCUUGAGCCCAGGAGGCGGAGGUUGUAGUGA